This 1326-nucleotide ribosomal RNA is filed under the name uncultured bacterium. RNAcentral's name for it is "bacterial SSU rRNA". It matches the Rfam family "Bacterial small subunit ribosomal RNA", at positions 38 to 1387 of the family's 1533-position model. The record is from RNAcentral.
GGCGGCGCGCCUAACACAUGCAAGUCGAACGAGAGAGAGGAAGCUUGCUUCUUCAAUCGAGUGGCGAACGGGUGAGUAACGCGUGAGGAACCUGCCUCAAAGAGGGGGACAACAGUUGGAAACGACUGCUAAUACCGCAUAAGCCCACAGCUCGGCAUCGAGCAGAGGGAAAAGGAGCAAUCCGCUUUGAGAUGGCCUCGCGUCCGAUUAGCUAGUUGGUGAGGUAAUGGCCUACCAAGGCGACGAUCGGUAGCCGGACUGAGAGGUUGAACGGCCACAUUGGGACUGAGACACGGCCCAGACUCCUACGGGAGGCAGCAGUGGGGAAUAUUGCACAAUGGGGGAAACCCUGAUGCAGCGACGCCGCGUGGAGGAAGAAGGUCUUCGGAUUGUAAACUCCUGUUGUUGAGGAAGAUAAUGACGGUACUCAACAAGGAAGUGACGGCUAACUACGUGCCAGCAGCCGCGGUAAAACGUAGGUCACAAGCGUUGUCCGGAAUUACUGGGUGUAAAGGGAGCGCAGGCGGGAAGACAAGUUGGAAGUGAAAUCUAUGGGCUCAACCCAUAAACUGCUUUCAAAACUGUUUUUCUUGAGUAGUGCAGAGGUAGGCGGAAUUCCCGGUGUAGCGGUGGAAUGCGUAGAUAUCGGGAGGAACACCAGUGGCGAAGGCGGCCUACUGGGCACCAACUGACGCUGAGGCUCGAAAGUGUGGGUAGCAAACAGGAUUAGAUACCCUGGUAGUCACACCGUAAACGAUGAUUACUAGGUGUUGGAGGAUUGACCCCUUCAGUGCCGCAGUUAACACAAUAAGUAAUCCACCUGGGGAGUACGACCGCAAGGUUGAAACUCAAAGGAAUUGACGGGGGCCCGCACAAGCAGUGGAGUAUGUGGUUUAAUUCGACGCAACGCGAAGAACCUUACCAAGUCUUGACAUCCCUUGACGAACAUAGAAAUAUGUUUUCUCUUCGGAGCAAGGAGACAGGUGGUGCAUGGUUGUCGUCAGCUCGUGCCGUGAGAUGUUGGGUUAAGUCCCGCAACGAGCGCAACCCUUACUGUCAGUUACUACGAAGAGGACUCUGGCAGGACUGCCGUUGACAAAACGGAGGAAGGUGGGGAUGACGUCAAAUCAUCAUGCCCUUUAUGACUUGGGCUACACACGUACUACAAUGGCGUUAAACAAAGAGUAGCAAGACCGCGAGGUGGAGCAAAACUCAGAAACAACGUCCCAGUUCGGACUGCAGGCUGCAACUCGCCUGCACGAAGUCGGAAUUGCUAGUAAUCGUGGAUCAGCAUGCCACGGUGAAUACGUUCCCGGGCCUUGCACA